UGGGGAAUUUUCCGCAAUGGGCGAAAGCCUGACGGAGCAAUACCGCGUGAGGGAGGAAGGCUUUUGGGUUGUAAACCUCUUUUAAUAAGGAAGAAGAAAGUGACGGUACUUAUUGAAUCAGCAUCGGCUAACUCCGUGCCAGCAGCCGCGGUAAUACGGAGGAUGCAAGCGUUAUCCGGAAUCAUUGGGCGUAAAGCGUCCGCAGGUGGUUCAUCAAGUCUGCUGUUAAAGACAGAAGCUCAACUUCUGAGGAGCAGUGGAAACUGGUGAACUAGAGUACGGUAGGGGUUGAGGGAAUUCCCAGUGUAGCGGUGAAAUGCGUAGAUAUUGGGAAGAACACCAGUGGCGAAGGCGCUCAACUGGGCCGUAACUGACACUCAGGGACGAAAGCUAGGGUAGCGAAAGGGAUUAGAUACCCGUGUAGUCC
RNAcentral lists this ribosomal RNA (427 nucleotides) under uncultured prokaryote. RNAcentral describes it as "bacterial SSU rRNA". It matches the Rfam family "Bacterial small subunit ribosomal RNA", at positions 355 to 796 of the family's 1533-position model. The record is from RNAcentral.